RNAcentral lists this transfer RNA (72 nucleotides) under Bos taurus (domestic cattle). It matches the Rfam family "tRNA". Rfam says of the family: Transfer RNA (tRNA) molecules are approximately 80 nucleotides in length. Their secondary structure includes four short double-helical elements and three loops (D, anti-codon, and T loops). Further hydrogen bonds mediate the characteristic L-shaped molecular structure. tRNAs have two regions of fundamental functional importance: the anti-codon, which is responsible for specific mRNA codon recognition, and the 3' end, to which the tRNAs corresponding amino acid is attached (by aminoacyl-tRNA synthetases). tRNAs cope with the degeneracy of the genetic code in two manners: having more than one tRNA (with a specific anti-codon) for a particular amino acid; and 'wobble' base-pairing, i.e. permitting non-standard base-pairing at the 3rd anti-codon position. RNAcentral also lists the same sequence under 3 other names. The record is from Rfam by way of RNAcentral. Lineage: Eukaryota; Metazoa; Chordata; Mammalia; Artiodactyla; Bovidae.
UUCCUACUGGCUCAGACGGUAAAGAAUCCACCUCCAAUGUGGGAGACCUGAGUUCAAUCCCUAGGUUGGAAA